AGAGCGAACGCUGGCGGCAGGCCUAAAACAUGCAAGUCGAACGGACCCUUCGGGGUUAGUGGCGGACGGGUGAGUAACACGUGGGAACGUGCCUUUUGGUUCAGAACAACUCAGGGAAACUUGAGCUAAUACUGAAUAAGCCCUACGGGGGAAAGAUUUAUCGCCAUUAGAGCGGCCCGCGUUGGAUUAGCUAGUUGGUGAGGUAAAGGCUCACCAAGGCUACGAUCCAUAGCUGGUCUGAGAGGAUGAUCAGCCACACUGGGACUGAGACACGGCCCAGACUCCUACGGGAGGCAGCAGUUAGGAAUCUUGCGCAAUGGGCGAAAGCCUGACGCAGCCAUGCCGCGUGAAUGAUGAAGGUCUUAGGAUUGUAAAAUUCUUUCAGCGGGGAAGAUAAUGACUGUACCCGCAGAGAAGCUCCGGCUAACUUCGUGCCAGCAGCCGC
Molecule: ribosomal RNA, 445 nt
Filed under: uncultured bacterium
Lineage: Bacteria
Description: SSU rRNA
Rfam family: Bacterial small subunit ribosomal RNA
Source: RNAcentral